RNAcentral lists this ribosomal RNA (243 nucleotides) under uncultured bacterium. Its description in RNAcentral is "partial 16S ribosomal RNA". It matches the Rfam family "Bacterial small subunit ribosomal RNA", at positions 109 to 353 of the family's 1533-position model. The record is from RNAcentral.
AGUAAUGUCUGGGAAACUGCCUGAUGGAGGGGGGAGUAACUACUGGAAACGGUAGCUAAUACCGCAUAACGUCGCAAGACCAAAGAGGGGGACCUCGGGCCUCUUGCCAUCGGAUGUGCCCAGAUGGGAUUAGCUAGUAGGUGGGGUAACGGCUCACCAGGCGACGAUCCCUAGCUGGUCUGAGAGGAUGACCAGCCACACUGGAACUGAGACACGGUCCAGACUCCUACGGGAGGCAGCAUG